UAACUUUACUAGAACAGACAGUGUCAUACAGAGUUGUGGGUUUAUAUGCACUACCUAUUUCCUAAUCUGAAAUGAUUAUGCUCUGAUUAACUUUGAACUAAUAUUUUAUUUUUACCAUUUAAAAGUCUGUUAAUUACUUAACCUGGCCCAUGUAUGACUUUACAUAUCUGUGUAUUGGUUUCAUGUUCCUCUAGAAGGUCCAACUUGACACACAACUUGAAUCCAACCAGACUGAACACUGACUCCAGGGACAGACGAGCCUGAAGGACACAGCUGUGAUGACCAUGUUCUGUCUCUUAUGGCAAAGCAGAAAUAUAAAACACUGGGUUCUUAUCUAAAGUGUUUCAAAUCAGAUCUCCACCAUGUUGCUGCUGAGGACAUCAGUUGUCUUCCAGUUGACCAGCAUGAAGCUGCAGAUCUCCACCAUGUUGCUGCUGGGGACAUCAGGAGCUGCAUUAAUGAGGAGCAGAAGCGUACUGUUAUGAAUGUUUUGUGUUGUUUAUGAAGCACUACUUAUUUCAGCUAGAACCGAUGUACUAGGGUCUGGGUUUGUAUCCUAAUGGUUAAAUGCACAUACUUUAAAUCGCUUUUGAUAAAACGUGACAAAGAAAUACAACAUUGUACACAUAGAUAAAAUGUCUUUCUACCUCAUCUGUAAUAUUCAAGGUGAUGAUCUCCCACAGAGCUGUUGAUAACAGUCCACAUCAAGUCUCUCCACUUCCCUCAGUGUGAAAACAUAAUUAUAUAAUUAAUUGGAGAAGUGUUUACAACACUGAUGUGUGGACAUUAUAAUGUUAUCACUACUGUCUAAUUCACUCUACAACUCCAUGACAGACUAAAUAAACAAUGUGAAAAUAGUAAUGGCGGAUAUACCAUCCUGUAUCAGAAUAUUGGUGAAACAGUUACUAUCACAUGAAACGUACACGUGUAGCGUAUUGAUAGUAACUCAUUAAAAAAAAUAAUGUCACAACCAAAACAAGACUGUCGAGUUAUCUUGCUUC
This is a long non-coding RNA of Platichthys flesus (European flounder), 1001 nucleotides long. RefSeq lists it as uncharacterized. The transcript is spliced from 3 exons. Lineage: Eukaryota; Metazoa; Chordata; Actinopteri; Pleuronectiformes; Pleuronectidae. The record is from RefSeq and is a predicted model, not a curated record.